CACAAUCUUAGCUGGAGCUAUGCGAAGAAGAUUGCCAGGCUUACCAGGAAGAGCACCUUUGAUCAUAACAACAUUGAGGUCCUUAUCAAUCUUCACAAUCUUGAGCUUCCUGAUCUUGGUCUUGGUCCCUCCCAUUCUUCCAGGCAUCUUCUUCCCCUUGUAAACCCGCCCUGGCGUCGUUCCGGCCCCAAUUGACCCAAGAGCUCUGUGACUUUUGGACCCAUGAGUCAUUUGCCCUCUCUUGAAAUUGUGCCUCUUAAUCCCACCCUGAAACCCUUUCCCGAUUGUGGUUCCAGAGACAUCAACAAUGUCUCCUUCGUUGAAGAGCUCGUCGAACGAAAGCUUCUGGUUUGGCUCGAACCCAUCAACGCUCUGG
This 376-nucleotide long non-coding RNA is filed under the name Prunus persica (peach). RNAcentral describes it as "long non-coding RNA (PPER_LNC002562)". Lineage: Eukaryota; Viridiplantae; Streptophyta; Magnoliopsida; Rosales; Rosaceae. The record is from RNAcentral.